UCAAUGCUCAACCACUGAGCUACACCAGCCGGGCUGCCAGAUGCCAUUUUUUAUGGGACUUCUAAAAAUUCAGAAUGGAAAUUUGAUUCAAAUGCGUGUUGACUACAUUAUAAACAGAGAACUGUGACACUUAAGUUCUUACAGGAUUCGGGAGUUUUGUUUGGUGCAGCUAGGUAAAGCUCUCUUAGUGGAAUGAUUGCAGAGUUGGUCACAGACAUGCGAAGAUUUGUGUAAAAUCUCUUGGUAGCGCCAGCAAGUUUAACUUUGCUGUUGGCGCCUUUGAAGGGAUGGUGUUGUGGCGGACCAUGGCAGGUGGAGUCUUUGCAACCCUCAUAAUGCACCUUUAGGAUUUUAACCCCCAAAGCACGGGGAGAGUAGUUUUCACACCAGUAGCUUCUGCUUAUUAUUCACGCUGCUCAUUUGGCUGUUGGUUAGAAGUACCCGUACCUACGCAGCAAUACUUGUGCAGGGACUGCCUGUCUCAACAUUAGGAGAGUUCAACGCACCCGUGCCAUGGACUGCCCCCACUGGUUCCAUCUGGCUGUGCUUUUCAAACCACCCCAUCUUCUGUACUGUCAUUUCAAGUUCAACCCUUUCAAGUCAGAGAUCUUUCUGGUCAGUGAAAAAGGAAGCAAAAUUGCAGCCGAAUCAUUCUGCAUUCUUGCCUUUGUGUAUAAAUAUUAAUUUUUAAAUAUUGUAUGAUUUAUCCAACACUUGGCUUAUUUCUGUUCAAUAAUAGUACCAAAGCUGCAUCUCAGAGGUGUUAACAUGUGACAAAACAUGCAUCUUGAAGUAUAUGAAUUAAGGAAAUUGCAUCUACAAUGCCAGACAUGGUGCUAAGCAUUUUGUAACAUCGAAUUCUCAUAACAGCCCUAUUGAGUAGGUCCUGUUUUACCCCACCAUCCAUUAACUGCAGCUCACAGAUAUGACUUACCCAAGGUCAGGAAGAACUGGACUUGGGGAAUGAGGCGGUCUGACCAGAGUUACCUCACUGCUCUAUUAGACACCUGGAUCCUAACAUAUAAAUUUAUAAAUGUCUCUUUGGGGGAGGAAAUCUCAUAGCCUUACAUCUUCAACUGCAAAAUUUCUAAACAGUGGGAAAUCAGUGAUUAAAAGAAACAAUUUUGAGUA
This is a long non-coding RNA of Myotis brandtii (Brandt's bat), 1131 nucleotides long. RefSeq lists it as uncharacterized. The transcript is spliced from 2 exons. Lineage: Eukaryota; Metazoa; Chordata; Mammalia; Chiroptera; Vespertilionidae. The record is from RefSeq and is a predicted model, not a curated record.